Hypanus sabinus (Atlantic stingray) is the source of this 104-nucleotide small nucleolar RNA. RefSeq annotates it as small nucleolar RNA SNORA11. The record is from RefSeq and is a predicted model, not a curated record. NCBI's taxonomy places the organism in Eukaryota, Metazoa, Chordata, Chondrichthyes, Myliobatiformes, Dasyatidae. The transcript has a single exon.
UUGGUGUGCACAGAGCAGCUACUUUGGAGGUCCUAGGUGAGCCGUUUAUAACACACCAUAGAGAAACUCGUUGUCUUAAACAUGCAGAUGAACAAGAUAAAUUU